GCAUUAUUGCAAAAAGAUAGAACGACUUUUCCUAGUGUCCAAACAAAGGCAAAGAUAAAAAGGUGUGAGAAGCCGUUUCGUUGUUGGUCUACUGCUGAUAAGCCCCUCUCCACUUUGGCGGCGUGCAUUGAACUAAUUUGCUCGUUGUUGUUGUUGUUGUUGUUGUAGACUGGUUUCCUUGGUUGGUUUGUAUUUUUUGUAUUUUACUUUUACUCGUACAAGCUCUCUGUAUAUUUAUUUAAAGCGCAAAUGUUUUAGAUACGACACAAAUGUUGCUGCGAGAGAGAGAUAGAGCAGUGGCAGAGCGGGUAAAAAGAGAGCAGAGUAAACUACAACAACUUCAACAAAAAUUACAACAACGAGCAAAAGGCAAACUUGCCUAUCAGCCCCUUGCUUUUGUUGUUGUCGCUGUUGUUGUAGUAUUAUUCAGUGCGUGUGCUCAGCAUUUAACUAAACUGGCACACACGCACACCCAAACGGCACUCACCAACACUCAGCGACAUUCACCAACACUCAAAACACACGCAGCACGGCACAGCACGGCACACACCGAGUCAGUCAGGGCCCCGUCGGCGACAUGUGUGCUUAUAUAAUCGUCUAAUGGCUUUGUUUUUUUAAGAAACUGAAAUUACAAUUUCCGCUUGUCGCCCUGGCUCCGGCUCUCGCUCCCUUUCUCGCGCUGUGUUCCGCAGGCCCUGCCCGGCUGACGACGAUUCCAUUCCAUAAAAAUGUGCUAUAAAAAACUAACGGUUAAUGCUACGGUCUGCUGAAGUUCGUGUGUGGCUGGCUGGUGGAAAAAAAGAGUAACAACACAAAAACUAUUCCUCUGUCGUCCGUCGGCGCGGCGCGGUGCGGCGCUGUUUGGUGGCCGCUCAAUAGAAAGUUUGUGUUAAUAAAAAAUUGGAGGCACACACACUCGGAGAAAGACAGCAAAAAGCAGGAGGAGGAACAACAGAGAGAAAAAAUACCUAAAAAACUUAAACACACAAAAUAUGUAUGUCG
Drosophila subobscura is the source of this 1002-nucleotide long non-coding RNA. RefSeq lists it as uncharacterized. The transcript has 3 exons. NCBI's taxonomy places the organism in Eukaryota, Metazoa, Arthropoda, Insecta, Diptera, Drosophilidae. The record is from RefSeq and is a predicted model, not a curated record.